Molecule: ribosomal RNA, 383 nt
Filed under: uncultured Bifidobacterium sp.
Lineage: Bacteria; Bacillati; Actinomycetota; Actinomycetes; Bifidobacteriales; Bifidobacteriaceae
Description: bacterial SSU rRNA
Rfam family: Bacterial small subunit ribosomal RNA
Source: RNAcentral
ACAAUGGGCGCAAGCCUGAUGCAGCGACGCCGCGUGAGGGAUGGAGGCCUUCGGGUUGUAAACCUCUUUUAUCGGGGAGCAAGCGAGAGUGAGUUUACCCGUUGAAUAAGCACCGGCUAACUACGUGCCAGCAGCCGCGGUAAUACGUAGGGUGCAAGCGUUAUCCGGAAUUAUUGGGCGUAAAGGGCUCGUAGGCGGUUCGUCGCGUCCGGUGUGAAAGUCCAUCGCUUAACGGUGGAUCCGCGCCGGGUACGGGCGGGCUUGAGUGCGGUAGGGGAGACUGGAAUUCCCGGUGUAACGGUGGAAUGUGUAGAUAUCGGGAAGAACACCAAUGGCGAAGGCAGGUCUCUGGGCCGUCACUGACGCUGAGGAGCGAAAGCGUG